UACGUAGGGGGCUAGCGUUGUCCGGAAUCAUUGGGCGUAAAGAGCGUGUAGGCGGUCCGGUAAGUCCGUUGUGAAAGUCAGGGGCUCAACCCUUGAAUGCCGGCGGAUACUGUCGGGCUAGAGUCCGGAAGAGGCAAGUGGAAUUCCCGGUGUAGCGGUGAAAUGCGUAGAUAUCGUAAGGAAGACCAGUGGCGAAGGCGAAUCUCUGGACAGUUACUGACACUGAGGCACGAAGGCCAGGGGAGCAAACGGG
RNAcentral lists this ribosomal RNA (253 nucleotides) under uncultured bacterium. RNAcentral's name for it is "partial 16S ribosomal RNA". It matches the Rfam family "Bacterial small subunit ribosomal RNA", at positions 524 to 776 of the family's 1533-position model. The record is from RNAcentral.